This 375-nucleotide ribosomal RNA is filed under the name Triticum aestivum (bread wheat). RNAcentral's name for it is "partial small subunit ribosomal RNA". The record is from RNAcentral. Lineage: Eukaryota; Viridiplantae; Streptophyta; Magnoliopsida; Poales; Poaceae.
AUGUCCAUCACCGCCCACUAUAUCAAUGCAGAAUUCAUCUACAAGAAGAAGAUCAGAAGUUUCGCAGAGGUGAAGUAUCCUCACACGGGCUAUGCGAUAGAAGAGGAACUUGUUGGUUGCCUAACAGAAUGGGGCAUAAGGGGCAAGCUGUUCACUUUGACACUAGAUAAUGCCAGCAAUAAUACUAAUGCAUGUGAUGAGUUAAUAAAAUAUCACAAACAUGAGCUGCUCCUUGAAGGUCAACAUUUGCAUGUGAGGUGCUGUGCACACAUUCUCAAUAUCUUGGUUCAGGAUGGAAUGAAGAUAAUCCAUGAAGCUAUUGACAUGAUACGAGAGUUGCUGAAGUUUAUUGACUCUUCUCCUUCAAGACUUUAG